Molecule: ribosomal RNA, 468 nt
Filed under: uncultured bacterium
Lineage: Bacteria
Description: partial 16S ribosomal RNA
Rfam family: Bacterial small subunit ribosomal RNA
Source: RNAcentral
GACGAACGCUGGCGGCGUGCUUAACACAUGCAAGUCGAACGGAAAGGCCCUGCUUUUGUGGGGUGCUCGAGUGGCGAACGGGUGAGUAACACGUGAGUAACCUGCCCUUGACUUUGGGAUAACUUCAGGAAACUGGGGCUAAUACCGGAUAGGAGCUCCUGCUGCAUGGUGGGGGUUGGAAAGGUUCGGCGGUUGGGGAUGGACUCGCGGCUUAUGAGCUUGUUGGUGGGGUAGUGGCUUACCAAGGCUUUGACGGGUAGCCGGCCUGGGAGGGUAACCGGCCACAUUGGGACUGCGAUACGGCCCAGACUCGAACGGGAGGCAGCAGUGGAGAAUAUUGCACAAUGGGCGGAAGCCAGAUGCAACAACGCCGCGUGCGGGAUGACGGCCUUCGGGUUGUGAACCGAUUUCGCCUGUGACGAAGCGUGAGUGACGGUAAUGGGUAAAGAAGCACCGGCUAACUACGUG